GGAUGAAGAACGCAGCGAAAUGCGAUAAGUAAUGUGAAUUGCAGAAUUCAGUGAAUCAUCGAAUCUUUGAACGCACAUUGCGCCCCCUGGUAUUCCGGGGGGCAUGCCUGUUCGAGCGUCAUUUCACCACUCAAGCCUCGCUUGGUAUUGGGCAACGCGGUCCGCCGCGUGCCUCAAAUCGACCGGCUGGGUCUUCUGUCCCCUAAGCGUUGUGGAAACUAUUCGCUAAAGGGUGUUCGGGAGGCUACGCCGUAAAACAACCCCAUUUCUAAGGUUGACCUCGGAUCAGGUAGGGAUACCCGCUGAACUUAAGCAUAUCAAUAAGCGGAGGA
Molecule: unclassified non-coding RNA, 332 nt
Filed under: soil metagenome
Description: partial contains 5.8S ribosomal RNA, internal transcribed spacer 2, and large subunit ribosomal RNA
Rfam family: 5.8S ribosomal RNA (bases 2-121)
Source: RNAcentral